Molecule: small nuclear RNA, 110 nt
Filed under: Symbiodinium microadriaticum
Lineage: Eukaryota; Dinophyceae; Suessiales; Symbiodiniaceae
Source: RNAcentral
GUUUAGGGUUUAGGGUGAUCAUCCGAUAGGGUUGGAACGAUACACAGAAGAUUAGCAUUGGCCCCUGCGCAAGGAGGACGCGCCCAAAGCGAGAGGGAAAUAAAAAAACC